This 410-nucleotide unclassified non-coding RNA is filed under the name fungal sp. Its description in RNAcentral is "partial internal transcribed spacer region". The stretch from base 1 to 46 matches the Rfam family "Eukaryotic small subunit ribosomal RNA", at positions 1786 to 1831 of the family's 1831-position model. Lineage: Eukaryota; Fungi. The record is from RNAcentral.
AAGUCGUAACAAGGUAUCCGUAGGUGAACCUGCGGAUGGAUCAUUAAAAAACCAAAAGCUAACGUGCUUUAAAACCACGUUACUAACCCAAACCUAUGUGCACUCUGUCAUCGCGGGUGAUAGCUUGUGACCGGGGUCGAGCAUCGUUUCCCCUCGCGGGAGAGCGAUUACGCUGGUCUUCCACGGUGAGAAGGAAGACUUAUGACUUGUCACACGCUGCGACUCACUUGCACUUUUUUUUAUUCUCGCCACCUUUUUAUUAACCCAUUGAACUUUUACAAACUAUUUUUUUAGUUGUACUGAACGUUUUCUCAUUUCUACCGUCUGUUUUUGGCCUUCGGGUCGGAUUCGGAUUGUGAAACAAAUAAGAAACGCAAGAACAACUCUUAGCAACGGAUAUCUAGGUUCUC